UACGGAGGAUGCAAGCGUUAUCCGGAAUUAUUGGGCGUAAAGCGUCCGCAGGUGGCACUUCAAGUCUGUCGUCAAAGACUGGGGCUUAACCCUGGAAAGGCCGUGGAAACUGAAGAGCUAGAGUGCAGUAGGGGUAGAGGGAAUUCCCGGUGUAGCGGUGAAAUGCGUAGAGCUCGGGAAGAACAUCGGUGGCGAAAGCGCUCUGCUGGACUGCAACUGACACUCAGGGACGAAAGCUAGGGGAGCAAACGGG
RNAcentral lists this ribosomal RNA (253 nucleotides) under uncultured bacterium. RNAcentral describes it as "partial 16S ribosomal RNA". It matches the Rfam family "Bacterial small subunit ribosomal RNA", at positions 524 to 776 of the family's 1533-position model. The record is from RNAcentral.